AGAGUUUGAUCAUGGCUCAGAACGAACGCUGGCGGCAUGCCUAACACAUGCAAGUCGAACGAGACCUUCGGGUCUAGUGGCGCACGGGUGCGUAACGCGUGGGAAUCUGCCUUUAGGUUCGGAAUAACUCGGGGAAACCCGUGCUAAUACCGGAUAAUGACUUCGGUCCAAAGAUUUAUCGCCUAAAGAUGAGCCCGCGUAGGAUUAGCUAGUUGGUGAGGUAAGAGCUCACCAAGGCGACGAUCCUUAGCUGGUCUGAGAGGAUGAUCAGCCACACUGGGACUGAGACACGGCCCAGACUCCUACGGGAGGCAGCAGUCGGGAAUUUUGGGCAAUGGGCGAAAGCCUGACCCAGCAACGCCGCGUGAAGGAUGAAAUCCCUCGGGAUGUAAACUUCACAAGAACGGGAAGAAUAAGUGGAAGAUAACACCUUCCAUGAUGACGGUACUGUUUGUAAGCUCCGGCUAACUCCGUGCCAGCAGCCGCGGUAAUACGAAGGGGGCUAGCGUUGCUCGGAAUCACUGGGCGUAAAGGGCGCGUAGGCGGAUCUUUAAGUCGGGGGUGAAAGCCCAGGGCUCAACCCUGGAAUUGCCUUCGAUACUGAAGAUCUCGAGACCGGAAGAGGUGAGUGGAACUGCGAGUGUAGAGGUGAAAUUCGUAGAUAUUCGCAAGAACACCAGUGGCGAAGGCGGCUCACUGGUCCGGUUCUGACGCUGAGGCGCGAAAGCGUGGGGAGCAAACAGGAUUAGAUACCCUCGUAGUCC
Molecule: ribosomal RNA, 764 nt
Filed under: uncultured Sphingomonadaceae bacterium
Lineage: Bacteria; Pseudomonadati; Pseudomonadota; Alphaproteobacteria; Sphingomonadales; Sphingomonadaceae
Description: bacterial SSU rRNA
Rfam family: Bacterial small subunit ribosomal RNA
Source: RNAcentral